This 1855-nucleotide long non-coding RNA is filed under the name Mus pahari (shrew mouse). Its description in RNAcentral is "lncRNA (MGP_PahariEiJ_G0004830.1)". Lineage: Eukaryota; Metazoa; Chordata; Mammalia; Rodentia; Muridae. The record is from RNAcentral.
ACAUCUGGGCAGCUGGCGGGAGCAUGAACGGCUCACAGGUGGGAGCUGCGGCCAAGGCUGCCUGGCUGAGCUGCUGCAACCAGUCCGGGCUGCCACUCGGACCCCCGGAGGGGCCGCGGAUGGUGCAAGCAGUGGUGCUGGGUGUCCUGUCCCUUCUGGUGCUCUGUGGGAUCCUGUUCCUGGGUGGUGGACUCCUCCUCCGCGCUCAGGGCCUGAUAGCCCUGCUGGCCCGAGAAAGGCAUUCAACCCCCGAGGCUGAGCCUGGUGCCUGUGGAGGGGAUGAAGACUCCUAGGUGUCAGCUGCUCUUGAGAUCCAGCGCCUUCUGUGCCAUGCCGUCCAGAGCUCAUUUCUGUGGGGCACGGCAGAAGGCUCAACCCACAAACUCUUGUUUCCUGCACAGGUGCUGGACAUCUCCCCUCACCUGCCGCCCACCCGCACCCUAUUUGUGCUUGUGAGAUGGACUGAAGAUGCCGGACCGGUGACUCCUCAUCCUGGGACUCUGGUACUCGGCUGUCUCCGAGCUGCUCCCGACACUCCUGGGGUGGGUGCAGGAGACUGACUCAUGCUCAGAACAAGUGAGCCUGCUUGGUGACUGCCCUGUGCCAUGGGCACUGCGUGGACACGAGUGUGCCCUCUGCACACCAAGCUCUGUGGACAUGAGUGCAGUUCCUGUUUUGCCUGAUGCUGUACAGCAGGAUCUGACCACCCAGCGACCUAUUGCUGCUGAGAACCUGGGUUACUAUUUACCAUCUGGAGAGUGCGUCAGCCAUCCAGCAACACGCCAUCGCUUUCCAUGGCUUUGCCAUUAAAUAGGCCAGUAACGCAGUUCUGAGUGUGUGGUCUGUUUCCAGCCCUUGACCCUUGGGAUUCUUCGUUUCUCUCCUCAUCUCCCUUCAAUUUGGCCUGCUUCUAGUAAUUUUUUUUUUAAAGAAGGGGUUUACAAGGAGCUGGAGAGAUGGCUCAGUAGUUAAGAGCACUGACUGCUCUUCCAGAGGUCCUGAGUUUGAUUCCUAGUAACCACAUGGUAGCUCACAACCAUCUGUAAUGGGAUCUGAUGCCCUCUUCUGGUGUGUCUGAAGACAGCUGUGGUAUACUCAUAUACAUUAAAUAAAUAAAUAAACAAACAAACAAAUAAAUAUAUAAAAAAAGAAAGGGUUUGCAAUAGCCCAAGCUGACCUGAAACUAGUUGUGUGCUCUAAGAUGGACCUGAGCUCACAGCAAUCCUCCUGCUUCAGCCUCUCAGGAAUUAUAGACAGGUCCACCAAAGCUGGUUUAGAACAGAGGGUAGAUGUGAUGCCCGCUGGGAAUGACUCCCACCAGUCAGUGUGACCAAGGGCUUGGCUUUAUUCAACCAGAGCUUUGUAUGUGUAUGUGUGUGCAUGCAUGUCCAUGUGUGUGUAUGUGUGCAUGUGUGUGAAUGUGUGAGUGUGUGUAUGUGUGUGUGUGUAUGUGCAUGUGUGUGCACGUAUGAGUGUGUGUGCAUGUGUGUGAGUGUAUGUGUAUAUGUGUGCAUGUGUGAAUGUGUGUGCAUUUGUGUGAGUGUGUAUAUGUAUGUGCAUGUGUGUGCACGUGUGUGUGCAUGUGUACACAUAUAUGCAUGUGUGUAUGUGUGUGCAUUAUGUGAGUGUGUGUUUGUGUGUAUAGUUACUUCUCUGAGAGUGGGUUUUGUAAACCUUGCCCUCAUCUUUGAAAUAGAAGUGACACCGUCAGUGUGAGUGUGGACCCAGUAGGUGAUGCGUUUGCCCAUCACUAUAAUGUUUUGUAUACUACAGUUACUAAGGGACACUGUUUCCCCAAGCCUGGCUGUGUUAAUUAUUGUUCUAUUGCGAUAAAGCAUCAUGACCAAGGCAACUU